Molecule: ribosomal RNA, 450 nt
Filed under: uncultured bacterium
Lineage: Bacteria
Description: partial 16S ribosomal RNA
Rfam family: Bacterial small subunit ribosomal RNA
Source: RNAcentral
GUGGGGAAUCUUCCACAAUGGACGAAAGUCUGAUGGAGCAACGCCGCGUGAGUGAAGAAGGUUUUCGAAUCGUAAAGCUCUGUUGUCAGGGACGAAUGUUGAGACCGAGAAUAUUGGUUUCAAAUGACGGUACCUGACGAGGAAGCCACGGCUAACUACGUGCCAGCAGCCGCGGUAAUACGUAGGUGGCGAGCGUUGUCCGGAAUUAUUGGGCGUAAAGGGAGCGCAGGUGGGCUGUCAAGUCUGUCUUAAAAGUGCGGGGCUUAACCCCGUGAUGGGAUAGAAACUGGCAGUCUUGAGUGCAGGAGAGGAAAGCGGAAUUCCUAGUGUAGCGGUGAAAUGCGUAGAUAUUAGGAGGAACACCAGUGGCGAAGGCGGCUUUCUGGACUGUAACUGACACUGAGGCUCGAAAGCCAGGGGAGCGAACGGGAUUAGAAACCCUUGUAGUCC